UACGUAGGGUGCGAGCGUUAAUCGGAAUUACUGGGCGUAAAGUGUGCGCAGGUGGCCGCGCAAGUCGAGUGUGAAAUCCCCGAGCUUAACUUGGGAAUUGCGCUCGAAACUACGUGGCUCGAGUGUGGCAGAGGAAGGUGGAAUUCCACGUGUAGCGGUGAAAUGCGUAGAGAUGUGGAGGAACACCGAUGGCGAAGGCAGCCUUGUGGGCAAACACUGACGCUCAUGCACGAAAG
This 236-nucleotide ribosomal RNA is filed under the name uncultured bacterium. Its description in RNAcentral is "partial 16S ribosomal RNA". It matches the Rfam family "Bacterial small subunit ribosomal RNA", at positions 524 to 759 of the family's 1533-position model. The record is from RNAcentral.